GCCCCGGUAGCCUAGCCUGGUGGGGCAUCUGCUUGGUAAGUAGAAGGUCGCGGGUUCGAAUCCCGCCCGGGGCUCCA
Molecule: transfer RNA, 77 nt
Filed under: Candidatus Bathyarchaeota archaeon
Lineage: Archaea; Thermoproteati; Candidatus Bathyarchaeota
Description: tRNA-Thr
Rfam family: tRNA
About the family: Transfer RNA (tRNA) molecules are approximately 80 nucleotides in length. Their secondary structure includes four short double-helical elements and three loops (D, anti-codon, and T loops). Further hydrogen bonds mediate the characteristic L-shaped molecular structure. tRNAs have two regions of fundamental functional importance: the anti-codon, which is responsible for specific mRNA codon recognition, and the 3' end, to which the tRNAs corresponding amino acid is attached (by aminoacyl-tRNA synthetases). tRNAs cope with the degeneracy of the genetic code in two manners: having more than one tRNA (with a specific anti-codon) for a particular amino acid; and 'wobble' base-pairing, i.e. permitting non-standard base-pairing at the 3rd anti-codon position.
Source: RNAcentral